RNAcentral lists this ribosomal RNA (484 nucleotides) under uncultured bacterium. Its description in RNAcentral is "partial 16S ribosomal RNA". It matches the Rfam family "Bacterial small subunit ribosomal RNA", at positions 30 to 507 of the family's 1533-position model. The record is from RNAcentral.
AUUGAACGCUGGCGGCAGGCCUAACACAUGCAGGUCGAGCGGAUGAAGGGAGCUUGCUCCUGGAUUCAGCGGCGGACGGGUGAGUAAUGCCUAGGAAUCUGCCUGGUAGUGGGGGAUAACGUCCGGAAACGGGCGCUAAUACCGCAUACGUCCUGAGGGAGAAAGUGGGGGAUCUUCGGACCUCACGCUAUCAGAUGAGCCUAGGUCGGAUUAGCUAGUUGGUGGGGUAAAGGCCUACCAAGGCGACGAUCCGUAACUGGUCUGAGAGGAUGAUCAGUCACACUGGAACUGAGACACGGUCCAGAUUCCUACGGGAGGCAGCAGUGGGGAAUAUUGGACAAUGGGCGAAAGCCUGAUCCAGCCAUGCCGCGUGUGUGAAGAAGGUCUUCGGAUUGUAAAGCACUUUAAGUUGGGAGGAAGGGCAGUAAGUUAAUACCUUGCUGUUUUGACGUUACCAACAGAAUAAGCACCGGCUAACUUCGUG